This 319-nucleotide long non-coding RNA is filed under the name Parus major (Great Tit). Its description in RNAcentral is "lncRNA (ENSPMJG00000011207.1)". The record is from RNAcentral. Lineage: Eukaryota; Metazoa; Chordata; Aves; Passeriformes; Paridae.
CUUCCUCCCUGUCAGGUUGUUUGUGUAUCACAGUGCUGCUGGCAAAUUUUGAAACAAAAUUAGAGUUUGGCAAUCAAUUAGAGCAGUCAGACAGCAUGCAGAGCCCUUCACAACAGACCAAGACUCCUGCUCUUAGGAUUACCAGCAUGGCUAUGGUAAUGGAAAAACCUAGUUAUAGAGGAGGGGAGCUGCUUCAAAAUCACUGUGUUUUUAAAAGCCAGAAUUAACACUUACUCCACCAUACCUCAAGCAAUGAAAUCUGGUUUCCUGUCACUCUUUGUCUAGUGAUUGGAUGCUCUCAUGUGUAAGAAGGUGAGGG